AUUUUUUUUCUUCAUAGGAUUUUGGGAAGACUGAGACAAUCGUUGCUGAAGUCAAUGUUGUAAUGGUGAAUCGGGAUUUUUAAUGAAGUGGGUUUGAUUACUCUUGACUGUUUUGUGAAAUCGAGUUACGUCUGUGAUUGAAGAAUUAAAAGGGUGUCUAUAGGAUUGAGUAUGCGGAGUGAAUGAAAUUUAUUGGGUUAAUCUAACAAGACAGUCAGUGGAUACAAGAUCAUAAGUACAAAGCGGUAUCGGAGAUU
Molecule: long non-coding RNA, 257 nt
Filed under: Physcomitrium patens
Lineage: Eukaryota; Viridiplantae; Streptophyta; Bryopsida; Funariales; Funariaceae
Description: long non-coding RNA (PPAT_LNC013377)
Source: RNAcentral